This 746-nucleotide ribosomal RNA is filed under the name Alnicola badiofusca. RNAcentral describes it as "eukaryotic LSU rRNA". The stretch from base 229 to 382 matches the Rfam family "5.8S ribosomal RNA". The record is from RNAcentral. Lineage: Eukaryota; Fungi; Basidiomycota; Agaricomycetes; Agaricales; Hymenogastraceae.
GUGUGGUUGUUGCUGGCCCUCUCGGGGGCAUGUGCACACCCACCAUCCUCAUCUCUCCACCUGUGCACCUCUUGUAGACCUGGAUUGACUUUCCGAGGCAACUCGGUCGGGAAGAUUGCUGCGCUCUGUGAGCCAGCUUUCUUUGCAUGUCCAGGCCUAUGUUUUUCAUAUACCCCUAUAGAAUGUAACAGAAUGUAUCAUUGGGCCUUGUGCCUAUAAACCUUAUACAACUUUCAGCAACGGAUCUCUUGGCUCUCGCAUCGAUGAAGAACGCAGCGAAAUGCGAUAAGUAAUGUGAAUUGCAGAAUUCAGUGAAUCAUCGAAUCUUUGAACGCACCUUGCGCUCCUUGGUAUUCCGAGGAGCAUGCCUGUUUGAGUGUCAUUAAAUUCUCAACCUUAUUAACUUUUGUUGAUAAUGGAUUGGAUUGUGGGGGUUUCUUUUGCUGGCUUCUUCACAGAGAUCAGCUCCCCUUAAAUGCAUUAGCUGGUGCCCCGCGUGGACCAUCUAUUGGUGUGAUAAUUAUCUACGCCGUGGAUGUCUGCAAUCAUAUGGGUUUCGCACUGCUUCUAACCGUCUGUUCAUUCGGACAAUACAUGACAAUUUGACCUCAAAUCAGGUAGGACUACCCGCUGAACUUAAGCAUAUCAAUAAGCGGAGGAAAAGAAACUAACAAGGAUUCCCCUAGUAACUGCGAGUGAAGCGGGAAAAGCUCAAAUUUAAAAUCUGGCGGUCUCCGGCCGUCCGA